CCCUUAGAUGUUCGGGGCCGCACGCGCGCUACACUGAAGGAAUCAGCACGUCUUUCUCCUUGUCCGAAAGGACUGGGUAACCCGCUGAACCUCCUUCGUGCUAGGGAUUGGGGCUUGUAAUUCUUCCCCAUGAACGAGGAAUUCCCAGUAAGCGCGAGUCAUAAGCUCGCGUUGAUUACGUCCCUGCCCUUUGUACACACCGCCCGUCGCUACUACCGAUUGGAUGGUUUAGUGAGAUCCUCGGAUUGGUCCCGGCGCGGCCUCUGGUCGUGCCGGAGUGCCGAAAAGAAUGUCGAACUUGAUCAUCUAGGGGAAGUAAAAGUCGUAACA
RNAcentral lists this ribosomal RNA (330 nucleotides) under uncultured eukaryote. RNAcentral describes it as "partial 18S ribosomal RNA". It matches the Rfam family "Eukaryotic small subunit ribosomal RNA", at positions 1470 to 1796 of the family's 1831-position model. The record is from RNAcentral.